This 254-nucleotide ribosomal RNA is filed under the name uncultured bacterium. RNAcentral's name for it is "partial 16S ribosomal RNA". It matches the Rfam family "Bacterial small subunit ribosomal RNA", at positions 524 to 776 of the family's 1533-position model. The record is from RNAcentral.
UACGAAGGGGGCUAGCGUUGUUCGGAUUUACUGGGCGUAAAGCGCACGUAGGCGGAUCUUUAAGUCAGGGGUGAAAUCCCGAGGCUCAACCUCGGAACUGCCUUUGAUACUGGGGGAUCUCGAGUCCGGGAGAGGGAUGCGGAAUUCCAGGUGUAGCGGUGAAAUGCGUAGAUAUCUGGAGGAACACCGGUGGCGAAGGCGGCAUCCUGGACCGAGAUUGACGCUGAUGCGCGAAAGCCAGGGGAGCAAACAGG